GUGUUUGUAAAAAGGAGAGUGGUUGGCAUGUCCCCAGCAGGGAUGGGAACAGCCUUUGGGGUCGUUUGGUAGAGUGUAUUAGCAAAAUUAAUGCAUGCAUUAGCUCUAUGUAUUAG
This 116-nucleotide non-coding RNA is filed under the name Solanum tuberosum (potato). The record is from RNAcentral. Lineage: Eukaryota; Viridiplantae; Streptophyta; Magnoliopsida; Solanales; Solanaceae.